CAGAAAUGUGGCUCAAGGAGCAUAUCUCUGAGGAUGGGGCCGGAUAGUGUCUUCGCUGACAGGAUAGGAAUUCUGGAGUUCUCCGCUCUGGGGACGGAGGAGGAGCAAGAAUGCUCCGAUCCACGCCGCUAAGAAAGUCAAACCCGAAGUUCUCCCACCCUCCGCAGAACACCCGAUACUCACGUUCGCCCUCUUGGCCGCUUGCAUCGCCAUCUUGGCGGGCUGAUGAAGUUACCGUAGCAGAUACUGAAAUUCCUCCGGAGCUCGCUCGGCUUCGGGGGUUACACCGCGUUAGAUGCAGGACAUCAACAUCCAGGACCCGCCGGAAGCUGUUACAGCGGAAUAGCGCCGUCUUACGCUGAGACGCGCUGACGUAGCAGCCCCCUUCGAAUAGACUCCGGGGUAAAACCGAGCCUGAGCGAGACUCGAGGCCGGAAGAUGGAAAGGCGAGAGUCCAAGACACUUCCGGGCUCUGUACCGUAAAGGGCGGGGCGUAGCCUCCAAAAGGCGAGAUGUUCCGGUCGGGGAGGCCCUGAGCAGAGGAACCCGGGUGGAGAGGGCGGGGCCUGAGGAGGGCGGAGAGCUGGGGCGGGUCUCAGCUGCUCCAAGCUUUUCUGCCAUUUGAAGCUUCUUCUGGGAGCCAGCUGUGACCAGAGGAAUAGCUCCAGCCAUCCGGGUGAGUUGGAUAGCAGCUGUGCCCACACCACUCAGUCCUGCAUGGAUUAGCACAUAGUCUCCAGCCUGAACAUUUCCUGUGACAGAAAGUACAGGGUUCUCUUUACUUUGCAACUGCUACACAUUCCCCACACAGGCAUAUUCUAUCAA
RNAcentral lists this long non-coding RNA (825 nucleotides) under Homo sapiens (human). RNAcentral's name for it is "HSALNT0028811". The record is from RNAcentral. Lineage: Eukaryota; Metazoa; Chordata; Mammalia; Primates; Hominidae.